Molecule: ribosomal RNA, 505 nt
Filed under: uncultured bacterium
Lineage: Bacteria
Description: bacterial SSU rRNA
Rfam family: Bacterial small subunit ribosomal RNA
Source: RNAcentral
AGUGAACGCUGGCGGCAGGCCUAAUACAUGCAAGUCGAACGGCAGCACGGCAGAGCUUGCUCUGUGGGUGGCGAGUGGCGGACGGGUGAGGAAUACAUGGGAAUCUGCCCAGUCGUGGGGGAUAACGUAGGGAAACUUACGCUAAUACCGCAUGCGCCCUUCGGGGAAAGCCGGGGACCUUCGGGCCUGGCGCGAUUGGAUGAGCCCAUGUCGGAUUAGCUAGUUGGCGGGGUAAUGGCCCACCAAGGCGACGAUCCGUAGCUGGUCUGAGAGGAUGAUCAGCCACACUGGAACUGAGACACGGUCCAGACUCCUACGGGAGGCAGCAGUAGGGAAUAUUGGACAAUGGGCGCAAGCCUGAUCCAGCCAUGCCGCGUGAGUGAAGAAGGCCCUCGGGUUGUAAAGCUCUCUUGUCCGGAAAGAAAAGCGCCGGGUUAAUACCCUGGUGUCCUGACGGUACCGGAAGAAUAAGCACCGGCUAACUUCGUGCCAGCAGCCGCGGUAA